This 398-nucleotide ribosomal RNA is filed under the name Sclerotinia sclerotiorum. RNAcentral describes it as "partial small subunit ribosomal RNA". It matches the Rfam family "Eukaryotic small subunit ribosomal RNA", at positions 30 to 432 of the family's 1831-position model. Lineage: Eukaryota; Fungi; Ascomycota; Leotiomycetes; Helotiales; Sclerotiniaceae. The record is from RNAcentral.
GCUUGUCUCAAAGAUUAAGCCAUGCAUGUCUAAGUAUAAGCAACUAUACUGUGAAACUGCGAAUGGCUCAUUAAAUCAGUUAUCGUUUAUUUGAUAGUACCUUACUACAUGGAUAACCGUGGUAAUUCUAGAGCUAAUACAUGCUAAAAACCCCGACUUCGGAAGGGGUGUAUUUAUUAGAUAAAAAACCAAUGCCCUUCGGGGCUCUGUGGUGAUUCAUAAUAACUUAACGAAUCGCAUGGCCUUGCGCCGGCGAUGGUUCAUUCAAAUUUCUGCCCUAUCAACUUUCGAUUGUACGGUAGUGGCGUACAAUGGUAUUGACGGGUAACGGAGAAUUAGGGUUCGAUUCCGGAGAAGGAGCCUGAGAAACGGCUGCUACAUCCAAGGAAGGCAGCAGG